UACGUAGGGUGCAAGCGUUGUCCGGAAUUAUUGGGCGUAAAGAGCUCGUAGGCGGUCUGUCGCGUCUGCUGUGAAAACUCAGGGCUUAACCCUGAGCUUGCAGUGGGUACGGGCAGACUAGAGUGCGGUAGGGGAGACUGGAAUUCCAGGUGUAGCGGUGAAAUGCGUAGAUAUCUGGAGGAACACCGGUGGCGAAGGCGGCAUCCUGGACCGGCAUUGACGCUGAGGCGCGAAAGCCAGGGGAGCAAACGGG
RNAcentral lists this ribosomal RNA (253 nucleotides) under uncultured bacterium. RNAcentral describes it as "partial 16S ribosomal RNA". It matches the Rfam family "Bacterial small subunit ribosomal RNA", at positions 524 to 776 of the family's 1533-position model. The record is from RNAcentral.